AGACCUUUAGUUUGAACCCCGAAACCAGGUGAGCUACCCCCAGACAGCCUAUAUUGAUUUAGGGCUAACCCGUCUCUGUGGCAAAAGAGUGGGAAGAGCUCCGGGUAGAAGUGACAGACCUACCGAACCUGGUGAUAGCUGGUUGCCUGAGAAGUGGAUAGAAGUUCAGCCUCGCACACCCCAAGCCAGAGAAUACACCGCUAAGGCACUCAGGGAGAUGUGGGAGAGUUAGUUAAAGGGGGUACAGCCCCUUUAACUAAGGAUACAACCUUUGCAGGAGGAUAAAGAUCAUAAUAUAAAAAACAUGCUGCUCUAGUGGGCCUAAAGGCAGCCACCUAAACAGAAAGCGUUAAAGCUCAGGCAGAAAGAAGUUUAUUAUACCGAUAAAAAAUCUUACUCCCCUAAUUAUAUCAGGCCAACCCAUGCCAACAUGGAAGAGAUUAUGCUAAAAUGAGUAACAAGAAGACCUGCUCUUCUCCCAGCACAAGUGUAAGCCAGAUCGGACUAACCGCUGGAACUUAACGAACCCAACCCAAGAGGGUAGUGUGAAUAGUACAGACCCCAAGAAGAACUCACAACUAAACAAUCGUUAACCCCACACUGGAGUGCUAUUAUAAAGGAAAGACUAAAAGAGGGGGAAGGAACUCGGCAAACACAAGCCUCGCCUGUUUACCAAAAACAUCGCCUCCUGCAACUAUAUUGAGUAUAGGAGGUCCAGCCUGCCCAGUGACUACGGGUUCAACGGCCGCGGUAUUUUGACCGUGCAAAGGUAGCGCAAUCACUUGUCUCUUAAAUAGAGACCUGUAUGAAUGGCUAGACGAGGGCUUAACUGUCUCCCCCCUCCAGUCAGUGAAAUUGAUCUAUCCGUGCAGAAGCGGGUAUAAUUAUACAAGACGAGAAGACCCUUUGGAGCUUAAGGUACAAAAUCCAACCACGUUAAACGACCCCCUAAAGGGCAAGAACUUAGUGGCCAAUGAAGUUUUACCUUCGGUUGGGGCGACCACGGAGGAGAAAAAAGCCUCCGAGUGGACUGGGUUAAAACCCAAAGCUAAGAGAUACAUCUCUAAGCCGCAGAACAUCUGACCAAAAGUGAUCCGGCUAAAAAGCCGAUCAACGAACCAAGUUACCCUAGGGAUAACAGCGCAAUCCUCUCCCAGAGUCCAUAUCGACGAGGGGGUUUACGACCUCGAUGUUGGAUCAGGACAUCCUAAUGGUGCAGCCGCUAUUAAGGGU
Molecule: ribosomal RNA, 1233 nt
Filed under: Alburnus tarichi (tarek)
Lineage: Eukaryota; Metazoa; Chordata; Actinopteri; Cypriniformes; Leuciscidae
Description: partial large subunit ribosomal RNA
Rfam family: Bacterial large subunit ribosomal RNA
Source: RNAcentral